This 468-nucleotide ribosomal RNA is filed under the name uncultured bacterium. Its description in RNAcentral is "partial 16S ribosomal RNA". It matches the Rfam family "Bacterial small subunit ribosomal RNA", at positions 28 to 507 of the family's 1533-position model. The record is from RNAcentral.
GACGAACGCUGGCGGCGUGCUUAACACAUGCAAGUCGAACGGAAAGGCCCUGCUUUUGUGGGGUGCUCGGGUGGCGAACGGGUGAGUAACACGUGAGUAACCUGCCCUUGACUUUGGGAUAACUUCAGGAAACUGGGGCUAAUACCGGAUAGGAGCUCCUGCUGCAUGGUGGGGGUUGGAAAGUUUCGGCGGUUGGGGAUGGACUCGCGGCUUAUCAGCUUGUUGGUGGGGUAGUGGCUUACCAAGGCUUUGACGGGUAGCCGGCCUGAGAGGGUGACCGGCCACAUUGGGACUGAGAUACGGCCCAGACUCCUACGGGAGGCAGCAGUGGGGAAUAUUGCACAAUGGGCGGAAGCCUGAUGCAGCAACGCUGCGUGCGGGAUGACGGCCUUCGGGUUGUAAACCGCUUUCGCCUGUGACGAAGCGUGAGUGACGGUAAUGGGUAAAGAAGCACCGGCUAACUACGUG